ACGGGGGGAGCAAGCGUUGUUCGGAUUCAUUGGGCGUAAAGGGCUCGUAGGUGGCUCUGUAAGUCGGAGGUGAAAGACCACGGCUCAACCGUGGAAACGCCUUCGAAACUGUGGAGCUUGAGGCUGGGAGAGGAGAUCGGAAUUCCUGGUGUAGCGGUGAAAUGCGUAGAUAUCAGGAGGAACACCGGUGGCGAAGGCGGCUUUCUGGACAGAUACCGACGCUGAGGCACGAAAGCUAGGGGAGCAAACAGGA
RNAcentral lists this ribosomal RNA (253 nucleotides) under uncultured prokaryote. RNAcentral's name for it is "partial 16S ribosomal RNA". It matches the Rfam family "Bacterial small subunit ribosomal RNA", at positions 525 to 777 of the family's 1533-position model. The record is from RNAcentral.